UACGUAGGGUGCGAGCGUUACUCGGAAUUACUGGGCGUAAAGCGUGCGCAGGCGGUUCGUUGUGUCGGUGGUGAAAUCCCCGGGCUUAACCUGGGAAUGGCCAUGGAAACUGGCGAACUGGAGUGUGGCAGAGGGGGGUGGAAUUCCGCGUGUAGCAGUGAAAUGCGUAGAGAUGCGGAGGAACACCGAUGGCGAAGGCAGCCCCCUGGGCUGACACUGACGCUCAGGCACGAAAGCGUGGGGAGCAAACAGG
RNAcentral lists this ribosomal RNA (253 nucleotides) under uncultured bacterium. RNAcentral describes it as "partial 16S ribosomal RNA". It matches the Rfam family "Bacterial small subunit ribosomal RNA", at positions 524 to 776 of the family's 1533-position model. The record is from RNAcentral.